Molecule: long non-coding RNA, 1752 nt
Filed under: Sarcophilus harrisii (Tasmanian devil)
Lineage: Eukaryota; Metazoa; Chordata; Mammalia; Dasyuromorphia; Dasyuridae
Description: lncRNA (ENSSHAG00000029325.1)
Source: RNAcentral
GGAAAGAGAACUUUAUUCUUAGAGAGCACAUAUUUAUACCCCCCUGAAGAUCUGGGGGAAGGGGGAGGUCCUCUAGGAACCUGGCAUAAUGGAAUUGGCCUGAGAAGGAGGAGGGAGGCAUGCUAGGCUUUGAGAGCACUAAAGAGGGAGAGGUGGUACCUGGAGUCAGACACCGCCUCCUGGGGUUAAGCCCCACCUCCACAUAGGACUCACCUGCGCCUUAGAAUCUCUCAUCCCUCAGGUCUUCCCACAUGCCUUAAACUGCAUUCCUUGCAGUAAAAGAGGGCUUUUAACCCUUACAAGCUAGGAGCAAAAACAAAUCCCAUAUAACUAGAAACCCAUCAAUCCAUCACUACUAAUUCCUAAUCAGGAAUGCCCAUUGAGUUCCUUCUCAGAGUAAACCCAUUUUAGCAAAAGUCCUAACAGGAAUUUGCCCACUGAUGAAGCUAGUUCUCUUCUCAGUGUAAUAAACCCAUUCUUGCCACAAACCUGGAGCCUGUAUUCAUUCAGUUUUGCAAAUUCUUUUGCAAAGCCUGCAGAGGGGCCAGGGGAUCCCAUUGCUGUCAGGGGAUCUCUCAACCCUCAUUUCUCAAACUCAUCCAGUGCUGUGCCCCCUCCUCCCCACCUUGCCUUUGUUUCCCUGAUAGCUGGAGCCCUGUAAAAGUCUCUGGAAUUAAUUGCUGGAUGCUAGAUGCUGGAUGUCCCAGCUGGUUGAGACAAGAGUCCCAUUCAGCUGGUUAGAGAUCGAGCAUGAGUCCUGUUCAAUUGCUAGUCCAAAUUCUCCAUUAUUAAAAUAUUAAAAAUCUAAUUCCUGUCUUGCCUCAGUUUCUCCAGCAUUACACUGCUGAUCUGCUUCACUUGUAAAAACACUCUGCCCUGGUAAGCAUUUGAUAGCCUCAGAUUUCCUUGAUAUUUUUCAAAACUUCUUCCUUGUUCCUUAGCUCCAGCCAGAAAACCUCCACUGUAUUCUUAGAAACUCUGCUUUAGGAUGUGGACUCCCAAUGCCAGCCAAUAGUUUGGAAAGCAGCCACGGGGUUGGGCAGGGGAGCUCUUGGGGAAUUACCAGGGACUGCCUCUGGCUUGUUUAUGUGGAGGUCUCUUGUAUGUCAGAGAUUGUUCACUCUUACUCAUGAGAAAGAAAUAAACCUUUUUUCCUGCACUCAGACUCAGACUCCAGAUUGUCUUAGUGUUCACUACUGUCCCACACAAGUCUGAUCUGCAUCAUUGCACAUGGCAUUUCUAGACAGAAGUUCCUUCAUUCUUCUACUCAGCCUUCAGACUCUCACACUAUCCAUGAGGUGAAAGUUCCUGAGGCUGAGGCUGCCUCUUGAUCCAACUACCCCCAGGGUAUGUUGUUUGUUGAUUCCUCAGAGUCUGCCCUGUAGGUGUUUGUACUUCACUGAGGCUGAAAUUCUGACCCUGGAGGUCUGGUCUUCCCUUGGUUCUUUUCAAGUUGUCUUAGGAGUUCACUGUGUUUUACCCCAACUCCCAUUAUUUCUGCUGCUCAAUAUUCCUUCUGAGGCAAUUGUCUGACUUCUUUUGUAGAGGAAAUUUGGAGAGCCAAAAGUCACAGGUUUGCUUUUUUAAAACCUAUUUGGUCAUCUUCCCAGAAUCCUCUCACCUAGUCCCUUCCUUUCAGAGCUGCUCCAGAUCUUGCUGUUUGUUAAUUCAGUGGUGUCAAUGUGGUGACUGCAUUUGGCCCCUUGGGUCCCUUCAAUCUAAAAUUCUCUUUGUAUGUAAUUUAUUUCCCUG